UAUAAAUGCAAAUUAUGAUGAUGAGACAGAAAUUUUAGAGUACGGUGAAAUUAUUCGAGUUUAUACAAUGAUUUUUAGGUUUAUCACAGAGAAAGAGCGCCGUUGACGUCAACGUCAAAGUCAAAAGAGUCAGGUAUGUCUGCGAUUGGAAAGUUAAAACCCCAGGAAACUUCAC
This is a long non-coding RNA of Juglans microcarpa x Juglans regia, 175 nucleotides long. RefSeq lists it as uncharacterized. NCBI's taxonomy places the organism in Eukaryota, Viridiplantae, Streptophyta, Magnoliopsida, Fagales, Juglandaceae. The record is from RefSeq and is a predicted model, not a curated record. The transcript has 2 exons.